AUUGAACGCUGGCGGCAUGCCUUACACAUGCAAGUCGAACGGUAACAGGGAGCUUGCUCCGCUGACGAGUGGCGAACGGGUGAGUAAUGUAUCGGAACGUACCAUUCAGUGGGGGAUAACGUAGCGAAAGUUACGCUAAUACCGCAUAUUCUGUGAGCAGGAAAGCAGGGGAUCGCAAGACCUUGCGCUGAUUGAGCGGCCGAUAUCAGAUUAGCUAGUUGGUGAGGUAAAGGCUCACCAAGGCGACGAUCUGUAGCGGGUCUGAGAGGAUGAUCCGCCACACUGGAACUGAGACACGGUCCAGACUCCUACGGGAGGCAGCAGUGGGGAAUUUUGGACAAUGGGGGCAACCCUGAUCCAGCCAUGCCGCGUGAGUGAAGAAGGUCUUCGGGUUGUAAAGCUCUUUCGGCCGGGAAAAAUCGCAUCAGUUAAUACCUGGUGUGGAUGAUGGUACCGGAAUAAGAAGCACCGGCUAACUACGUG
This 483-nucleotide ribosomal RNA is filed under the name uncultured bacterium. Its description in RNAcentral is "bacterial SSU rRNA". It matches the Rfam family "Bacterial small subunit ribosomal RNA", at positions 30 to 507 of the family's 1533-position model. The record is from RNAcentral.